RNAcentral lists this ribosomal RNA (497 nucleotides) under uncultured bacterium. RNAcentral describes it as "partial 16S ribosomal RNA". It matches the Rfam family "Bacterial small subunit ribosomal RNA", at positions 28 to 507 of the family's 1533-position model. The record is from RNAcentral.
GACGAACGCUGGCGGCGUGCCUAAUACAUGCGAGUUGAGCGCUGAAGGUUGGUACUUGUACCAACUGGAUGAGCAGCGAACGGGUGAGUAACGCGUGGGGAAUCUGCCUUUGAGCGGGGGACAACAUUUGGAAACGAAUGCUAAUACCGCAUAAAAACUUUAAACACAAGUUUUAAGUUUGAAAGAUGCAAUUGCAUCACUCAAAGAUGAUCCCGCGUUGUAUUAGCUAGUUGGUGAGGUAAAGGCUCACCAAGGCGAUGAUACAUAGCCGACCUGAGAGGGUGGUCGGCCACAAUGGGACUGAGGAACGGCCCAACAUCCUACGGGAGGCAGCAGGAGGGAAACUUCGGCCAUGGGCGAAAGUCUGACCGAGCAACGCCGCGUGAGUGAAGAAGGUUUUCGGAUCGUAAAACUAUGUUGGUAGAGAAGAACGUUGGUGAGAGUGGAAAGCUCAUCAAGUGACGGUAACUACACAGAAAGGGACGGCUAACUACGUG